CAGGAAGUUACACUUCAGGGGCCCAUUGUAGUCAAAACUGAUUUGUUUCUGUUGGAAAUCAUUCCAGUGUAACGCCAAACCAUGAGCAAACAUAAAAGCAAAGCGCCAAGAGGAAUCAGCAAAGGGCGAGGUCGGCUCGGGGUUUGUUCUCCCAGAAUGCAGAACGGACGGCUCCGGACAACAGCGUGAGAUGAAAUUACGCCCAGUAAUGGGAGAGGAAAUAAGGAACACCUUCUGCGAUUAA
This is a long non-coding RNA of Nerophis ophidion (straightnose pipefish), 244 nucleotides long. RefSeq lists it as uncharacterized. NCBI's taxonomy places the organism in Eukaryota, Metazoa, Chordata, Actinopteri, Syngnathiformes, Syngnathidae. The transcript has 3 exons. The record is from RefSeq and is a predicted model, not a curated record.